RNAcentral lists this ribosomal RNA (465 nucleotides) under uncultured bacterium. Its description in RNAcentral is "partial 16S ribosomal RNA". It matches the Rfam family "Bacterial small subunit ribosomal RNA", at positions 28 to 507 of the family's 1533-position model. The record is from RNAcentral.
GACGAACGCUGGCGGCGUGCUUAACACAUGCAAGUCGAACGGAAAGGCCCCUUCGGGGGUACUCGAGUGGCGAACGGGUGAGUAACACGUGAGUAACCUGCCCUUGACUUCGGGAUAACUUCAGGAAACUGGGGCUAAUACCGGAUAGGAAUCCUUGCUGCAUGGAGGGGGUUGGAAAGCUUUGGCGGUUUUGGAUGGACUCGCGGCUUAUCAGCUUGUUGGUGGGGGAGUGGCUUACCAAGGCUUUGACGGGGAGCCGGCCUGGGGGGGGGAACGGCCAAAGUGGGACUGGGGAUAGGCCCAGGCUCCUACGGGGGGGAGGAGGGGGGAAUAUUGCAAAAUGGGCGGGAGCCCUAUGCAGCAACGCCGCGGGCGGGAUGACGGGCUUCGGGUUGUAAACCGCUUUCAGCAGGGGCGAAGCUUGUGGUGACGGUACCUGCAGAAGAAGCACCGGCUAACUACGUG